Molecule: ribosomal RNA, 195 nt
Filed under: uncultured bacterium
Lineage: Bacteria
Description: partial 16S ribosomal RNA
Rfam family: Bacterial small subunit ribosomal RNA
Source: RNAcentral
CCUACGGGAGGCAGCAGUAGGGAAUAUUGCACAAUGGAGGAAACUCUGAUGUAGCAACGCCGCGUGAGUGAAGAAGGCCCUUGGGUCGUAAAGCUCUUUAGCCUGGAAAGAAGUGUUUGUACAUUAAUAUUGUGCAGAUGUGACGGUACCAGGAGAAUAAGGACCGGCUAAUUUCGUGCCAGCAGCCGCGGUAAU